Long non-coding RNA from Melanotaenia boesemani (Boeseman's rainbowfish), 124 nucleotides. RefSeq lists it as uncharacterized. The transcript has 3 exons. The record is from RefSeq and is a predicted model, not a curated record. Lineage: Eukaryota; Metazoa; Chordata; Actinopteri; Atheriniformes; Melanotaeniidae.
AAAUUUUUUAAUUGAAAACAAUUUUGUAAUGACAGAUAUAGGCAAGUUUAAAAUCAUUUCUUGCCCAUAAGGUUUCAAAUUUUAAUAAUUCUUCUUGUAAAAGUAUUACAUUUUAAUCUAUGGG